GCUGGAAUUGUAUGAUUGUGAAGACAUCACGAACCUUAAAGGUUGAGAAGUGAACGGAUUAUACGGCGAACUGAGACGAUGUGAAAAAGGGGAUUGGAAGCGGCAUUGAUGUGAGUACUAAGAGCCAGUCGAAAGUGCCCUGUAUAUUGACCUGGCGUUGUGUAGAUCUCUCCAGGAGGAGGAGGGCGGCCCUACCCCUAAUAUAGCGUGGUGGGAGAGCCGAAGGAAUACUUAUUGAAGUAGUCACAACGACGACAUCACUAGCUAGGCCGCAUAUUCCAUCGCCAGAUCCGAACCAAGCGAAGUGAAGGAAGACGGGUGUCCUUUUCGUACACUGAGUGUGGUGGGUGAGUCUUCAUGCUGUGAAAACCUAUAAUUUUGACGUGGUGCUGUAUAUUGCUGUGGGCUGCUGUGUAUUGCCGUGUGUCCUGUCAGAUAAACCCCCGCCUUCACGCACUUCGUCGCGGGAGGACAAGGAGACUGCUGGUCCUAGCCUAGUUCAGUACAGUAUAUGUUGUGAGCGUGCUUCAGAUCUCCGGAGAUAGCACAGUACGCUGUGUCCAGCCCAGAGGUGAAAGCCAUCCAAAGCAGAGUAACUGUGCUUUGCGUCCAAGUUGAUACCUGUGGAGAGGAAAGGAAAGAGAGAUUGAUACCUGUGGAGAGAAAAGGAGAGAGAGUGGGUAACACGAGGAGAGACCGAGGAAACCUGUACUUACGCCGCUGCCUGUGGAGAAAGAGAAAGCGACCGUUGCCUGUGGAGAAAGAGAAAGAGUGAGCACCUCGAGAACGAACUGUGUGAACCAGUACUUACCGUGAGCUGUAUUCAGCGAAGAGGAGG
This is a long non-coding RNA of Cyprinus carpio carpio, 838 nucleotides long. The record is from Ensembl. NCBI's taxonomy places the organism in Eukaryota, Metazoa, Chordata, Actinopteri, Cypriniformes, Cyprinidae.